AGUAACACGUGGAUAACCUACCUAUAAGACUGGGAGUAACUUCGGGAAACCGGAAGCUAAUACAGGAUAAUAUUUUGAACCGCAUGGUUCAAAAGUGAAAGACGGUCUUGCUGUCACUUAUAGAUGGAUCCGCGCUGCAUUAGCUAGUUGGUAAGGUAACGGCUUACCAAGGCAACGAUGCAUAGCCGACCUGAGAGGGUGAUCGGCCACACUGGAACUGAGACACGGUCCAGACUCCUACGGGAGGCAGCAGAC
RNAcentral lists this ribosomal RNA (255 nucleotides) under uncultured Staphylococcus sp. RNAcentral's name for it is "partial 16S ribosomal RNA". It matches the Rfam family "Bacterial small subunit ribosomal RNA", at positions 109 to 354 of the family's 1533-position model. The record is from RNAcentral. Lineage: Bacteria; Bacillati; Bacillota; Bacilli; Caryophanales; Staphylococcaceae.